GAUGAACGCUGGCGGCGUGCCUAAUACAUGCAAGUCGAGCGAACGGACGAGAAGCUUGCUUCUCUGAUGUUAGCGGCGGACGGGUGAGUAACACGUGGAUAACCUACCUAUAAGACUGGGAUAACUUCGGGAAACCGGAGCUAAUACCGGAUGAUAUUUUGAACCGCAUGGUUCAAAAGUGAAAGACGGUCUAGCUGUCACUUAUAGAUGGAUCCGCGCUGCAUUAGCUAGUUGGUAAGGUAACGGCUUACCAAGGCAACGAUGCAUAGCCGACCUGAGAGGGUGAUCGGCCACACUGGAACUGAGACACGGUCCAGACUCCUACGGGAGGCAGCAGUAGGGAAUCUUCCGCAAUGGGCGAAAGCCUGACGGAGCAACGCCGCGUGAGUGAUGAAGGUCUUCGGAUCGUAAAACUCUGUUAUUAGGGAAGAACAUAUGUGUAAGUAACUGUGCACAUCUUGACGGUACCUAAUCAGAAAGCCACGGCUAACUACGUG
This 497-nucleotide ribosomal RNA is filed under the name uncultured bacterium. Its description in RNAcentral is "partial 16S ribosomal RNA". It matches the Rfam family "Bacterial small subunit ribosomal RNA", at positions 28 to 507 of the family's 1533-position model. The record is from RNAcentral.